AUUGAACGCUGGCGGCAUGCUUUACACAUGCAAGUCGAACGGUAACAGGGUGCUUGCACCGCUGACGAGUGGCGAACGGGUGAGUAAUGCGUCGGAACGUGCCGAGUAGUGGGGGAUAACGCAGCGAAAGUUGUGCUAAUACCGCAUACGUACUGAGGUAGAAAGUGGGGGACCUUCGGGCCUCACGCUAUUCGAGCGGCCGACGUCUGAUUAGCUAGUAGGUGAGGUAAAGGCUCACCUAGGCGACGAUCAGUAGCGGGGCUGAGAGGAUGAUCGGCCACACUGGGACUGAGACACGGCCCAGACUCCUACGGGAGGCAGCAGUGGGGAAUAUUGCACAAUGGGCGCAAGCCUGAUGCAGCCAUGCCGCGUGUAUGAAGAAGGCCUUCGGGUUGUAAAGUACUUUCAGCGGGGAGGAAGGCGGUGAAGUUAAUAACUUCACCGAUUGACGUUACCCGCAGAAGAAGCACCGGCUAACUCCGUGCCAGCCGCCGCCGUAA
RNAcentral lists this ribosomal RNA (500 nucleotides) under uncultured bacterium. Its description in RNAcentral is "partial 16S ribosomal RNA". It matches the Rfam family "Bacterial small subunit ribosomal RNA", at positions 30 to 523 of the family's 1533-position model. The record is from RNAcentral.